Molecule: long non-coding RNA, 236 nt
Filed under: Elaeis guineensis (African oil palm)
Lineage: Eukaryota; Viridiplantae; Streptophyta; Magnoliopsida; Arecales; Arecaceae
Description: long non-coding RNA (EGUI_LNC024679)
Source: RNAcentral
GUCAUCAAUACAAUGUUCUACCUAAGAAUCCUCGACUUGAGAAUGCUAAUGCAAUUACUGAACUUAAGUGGUAGAAUUCUUAAGGACCCAUAUCCAGAUCAGGUGAGAGAGACUAGUACUGAUGCUAGCCAAAAUAAAAAUUUGAAAAAAGAGGUUAGUACUGAGACUAACCCAAUAGAAGAAUCUGAGCCCGAAAUUGUUAUUGAGCUGGGUGAAAAAGAUAAAGAAAAGAAGAG